UUGAUUUCUUUCAUUGUAGGUCUUGGA
This 27-nucleotide non-coding RNA is filed under the name Mus musculus (house mouse). The record is from RNAcentral. Lineage: Eukaryota; Metazoa; Chordata; Mammalia; Rodentia; Muridae.